CUGUUCGAGCGUCAUUUCAACCCUCAAGCACUGCUUGGUAUUGGGUGCCACCGCUAGAGGUGCACCCCAAAAUUAGUGGCGGGGCUGCUCGGCUUUCAGCGUAGUAAACUCCUCGCUGUGGAAACGAGUAGGCCCUAUGCUAGACCCUAAAAUUUUCAUAGGUUGACCUCGGAUCAGGUAGGGAUACCCGCUGAACUUAA
This 200-nucleotide unclassified non-coding RNA is filed under the name soil metagenome. RNAcentral's name for it is "partial contains internal transcribed spacer 2 and large subunit ribosomal RNA". The record is from RNAcentral.